This 927-nucleotide ribosomal RNA is filed under the name Bacillus subtilis. RNAcentral describes it as "bacterial SSU rRNA". It matches the Rfam family "Bacterial small subunit ribosomal RNA", at positions 568 to 1504 of the family's 1533-position model. The record is from RNAcentral. Lineage: Bacteria; Bacillati; Bacillota; Bacilli; Caryophanales; Bacillaceae.
CUCGCAGGCGGUUUCUUAAGUCUGAUGUGAAAGCCCCCGGCUCAACCGGGGAGGGUCAUUGGAAACUGGGGAACUUGAGUGCAGAAGAGGAGAGUGGAAUUCCACGUGUAGCGGUGAAAUGCGUAGAGAUGUGGAGGAACACCAGUGGCGAAGGCGACUCUCUGGUCUGUAACUGACGCUGAGGAGCGAAAGCGUGGGGAGCGAACAGGAUUAGAUACCCUGGUAGUCCACGCCGUAAACGAUGAGUGCUAAGUGUUAGGGGGUUUCCGCCCCUUAGUGCUGCAGCUAACGCAUUAAGCACUCCGCCUGGGGAGUACGGUCGCAAGACUGAAACUCAAAGGAAUUGACGGGGGCCCGCACAAGCGGUGGAGCAUGUGGUUUAAUUCGAAGCAACGCGAAGAACCUUACCAGGUCUUGACAUCCUCUGACAAUCCUAGAGAUAGGACGUCCCCUUCGGGGGCAGAGUGACAGGUGGUGCAUGGUUGUCGUCAGCUCGUGUCGUGAGAUGUUGGGUUAAGUCCCGCAACGAGCGCAACCCUUGAUCUUAGUUGCCAGCAUUCAGUUGGGCACUCUAAGGUGACUGCCGGUGACAAACCGGAGGAAGGUGGGGAUGACGUCAAAUCAUCAUGCCCCUUAUGACCUGGGCUACACACGUGCUACAAUGGACAGAACAAAGGGCAGCGAAACCGCGAGGUUAAGCCAAUCCCACAAAUCUGUUCUCAGUUCGGAUCGCAGUCUGCAACUCGACUGCGUGAAGCUGGAAUCGCUAGUAUCGCGGAUCAGCAUGCCGCGGUGAAGACGUUCCUGGGCUUGUACACACCUGCCCGUCACACCACGAGAGUUUGUAACACCCGAGUCGUGAGUACUUUUGGAGCCAGCCGCCGAUGUGGACAGAUGAAUGGGGUGAGUCGUACCAAGGUAGCCGUA